This 71-nucleotide transfer RNA is filed under the name Actinomycetota bacterium. RNAcentral describes it as "tRNA-Gly". It matches the Rfam family "tRNA". Rfam says of the family: Transfer RNA (tRNA) molecules are approximately 80 nucleotides in length. Their secondary structure includes four short double-helical elements and three loops (D, anti-codon, and T loops). The record is from RNAcentral. Lineage: Bacteria; Bacillati; Actinomycetota.
GCGGGAGUAGCUCAAUGGUAGAGCCUCAGUUUUCCAAACUGAUGACGGGGGUCCGAUUCCCCUCUCCCGCU